CCUGUUUCCCUUUCAGAGGAUUUGUCACUGAUAUACAGAAAUGCCUUUGAUUUAUGGGUGUUGAUUUUGUAUCCUGCUACUUUGCUGAAUUAAUUUACUAGUUCUAGAAGUUUUCUGGUGGAACUUUUUGGGUCUUCUAAGUAUAGAAUCAUAUUGUUGGCAAAUAGUGCUAAUUUGAGUUCUUCUUUUAUCCAUAUCCCUUUAAUUUCUUUCAUCUGUCUAAUUGCUCUGGCCAGUGUUUCAAGGACUAUGUUAAGUAAAAGUGGUGAAAGAGGGCAUCCUUAUCUUGCUCCAGUUUUUAGAGGACAUACUUUCAAUUUUUCUCCAUUUAGAAUUAGAUUGGCCUACGGCUUAGCAUAGUUGGCUUUUACGAUGUUGAGAUAUGUUCCUGUUAUCCCUAGUCUUUCUAGUGUUUUGAACAUGAAGAGGUGCUGCUGUAUUUUGUCAAAUGCUUUUCUGAAUCUAUUGAGAUGAUUAUAUGUUUCUUAUCUUUAAGUCUAUUGAUGUGAUGAAAUACAUUUAUUGAUUUCCGUAUGUUGAACCAAACUUGCAUCCCUGGAAUGAACCCCACUUGAUGGUGGUGUACUAUUUUUUUGGAUAUGUUUUUUGUAUUUGAUUUGCCAGAAUUUUAUUGGAAAUUUUUGGAUCUAUGUUCAUUAGAGGAUAAAUUGGUCUGAAGUUUUCUUUCUUUGAUGUGUCUUUGUCUGGUUUUGGGAUCAGGGUAAUAUUGGC
RNAcentral lists this long non-coding RNA (732 nucleotides) under Marmota monax (woodchuck). Lineage: Eukaryota; Metazoa; Chordata; Mammalia; Rodentia; Sciuridae. The record is from RNAcentral.